CCUAGAACACCCAUACAUUGCUGUUCUCCCGUUUUUGGGACUAUUUCCCUGUCCUCUACUUGAAGAGCAUGCCAGCCAUCCACAUUUUGGGGGAAGAAUUUGCAUUAACUCCCUCAUGGCCUAUGGUUCUGACGGGGAGGGUGUGUGGCACAGCUGCUGGGGGUGUGCAGCCACAACUCCUGGGGACUUGCUGGUGUAAGUGAUGACUGAAUUUUUUCCCCAUCAGAGCGACAGUGUUGAUUACUUGCUGUUCAAGCCAGAUCUUGUCUGAUGCACCAGCAGGGAAUGGCUGCUGUGUCCCACAUCCUGGUGUUAACAAAUGCCCAAAAUAAUGAAAUCAGGGCCCUGGUGCUGAUGGUUUUUGGCUUUACUCCCAGGGCACUGAAGGAAAAAGUGGGGAGUUGAGCCUUGGGGAGACCUGAAGUUCAGGCUGCAGCUGACAGUGAAGAGGUGUGUGAUGUGGGCAGUUGUCCGGUUUGCUCUACCGUGCCUGAAUCUCUAGCAAAUAAUGGGCACUGUGAAGGCAGAGGUGGGGAGUUGAGCCUUGGGGAGACCUGAAGUUCAGGCUGCAGCUGACAAUGAAGAGAUGUGGAUGAGGACAUUGUCUGGUUUGCUCCACCAUGUGUGCCCCUUUGUCAGGGGAGAAUGGUUGAGAUUUACAAAAAGUUGUCCUGGGUCCUGCUGGAGUUUGAGUGUUCUGCUUAAGAAGAUGGAUGGUUCUGCUGCUCCCAUGCAGCUGUCUGGGAUCCUCAUUCAAGCCACAGCAUUCCCAUACCCUGCAAUAGUUCUGACCUCUCAAAGCCGUCAGGAGUGACGAGUUUGUGUCCUGCCAGCUUAGAGGGUGCUACAAUUUCUGUCCCCUGGGUACAAAGCAUGUAACUGGAAUGGAUUGUGGAACUUGCCGUGUGUUUAAUGCAGUUGGAUACUUUUGUGGGCAGGGGCUGCGUUCCCUGCCUGGCGCAGAUCAUGCCAUAGCAUGCAAGGCAAGGAAGCCUUUCCUGAGCUACUGGGAGGCUGGAUGGCCUUGUGUGUAAGGAGGGGCGUCAGGGCUUGGUUCUCCCCUGCCAUCCAGAAAGCUGCAGUGCUGUAUCCCUGGCAGCUUGUGAAGCGGGCAAGGUGUGUCGGGUGCUGCAGCCCAGUGUGUUUCUGUACUGUUAGAAGCCUGGUUUUAAUAAAAUCUUGAGUAAUGGGUUGGUUUGGCUGGUA
Long non-coding RNA from Zonotrichia albicollis (white-throated sparrow), 1206 nucleotides. Lineage: Eukaryota; Metazoa; Chordata; Aves; Passeriformes; Passerellidae. The record is from Ensembl.